This 229-nucleotide long non-coding RNA is filed under the name Phaseolus vulgaris (common bean). RNAcentral describes it as "long non-coding RNA (PVUL_LNC005110)". The record is from RNAcentral. Lineage: Eukaryota; Viridiplantae; Streptophyta; Magnoliopsida; Fabales; Fabaceae.
AACAAUCGAUUGUUUAAUAACUUAGAUGUUUUCAGAAAGGUUGAAAAUUGUUUUUGAUGGUUGACUUGCUGUCAAACCAAAACAAUCGAUUGAUUCGUGGAAACAACCGAUUGAUUCGUGGAAACAACCGAUUGUUUGUUUUGGGACCAUAACAUAAAACUGUUUUGUGCUUUGACUGAGCAUUGAAUGAUUUUCUAACUUUUUACGCUCCAGUUUUUAAUGCUUUGAC